UGAUCCGUAGUUCAACGGUUAGAAUAGGACACUCAUAAUGUCUUGAUCACAGUUCGAUUCUGUGCGGAUCAA
This 72-nucleotide transfer RNA is filed under the name Candidatus Scalindua sp. RNAcentral's name for it is "tRNA-Ile". It matches the Rfam family "tRNA". From Rfam's summary of the family: Transfer RNA (tRNA) molecules are approximately 80 nucleotides in length. Their secondary structure includes four short double-helical elements and three loops (D, anti-codon, and T loops). Lineage: Bacteria; Pseudomonadati; Planctomycetota; Candidatus Brocadiia; Candidatus Brocadiales; Candidatus Scalinduaceae. The record is from RNAcentral.